GGAGACGUGGCCGAGUGGUCGAAGGCGCUCCCCUGCUAAGGGAGUAGACGGGUUGAACCGUCUCGAGGGUUCGAAUCCCUUCGUCUCCGCCA
RNAcentral lists this transfer RNA (92 nucleotides) under Pseudomonadota bacterium. Its description in RNAcentral is "tRNA-Ser". It matches the Rfam family "tRNA". Rfam says of the family: Transfer RNA (tRNA) molecules are approximately 80 nucleotides in length. Their secondary structure includes four short double-helical elements and three loops (D, anti-codon, and T loops). Lineage: Bacteria; Pseudomonadati; Pseudomonadota. The record is from RNAcentral. RNAcentral also lists the same sequence under 1 other name.